This 253-nucleotide ribosomal RNA is filed under the name uncultured bacterium. Its description in RNAcentral is "partial 16S ribosomal RNA". It matches the Rfam family "Bacterial small subunit ribosomal RNA", at positions 524 to 776 of the family's 1533-position model. The record is from RNAcentral.
UACGUAGGUGGCAAGCGUUGUCCGGAAUUACUGGGUGUAAAGCGCGUGUAGGCGGGAGGCCAAGUCUGUGGUGAAAUCGCCUGGCUUAACUGGGCGGGGUCCAUGGAAACUGGUCACCUGGAGGUCGGUAGAGGCAAGUGGAAUUCCCGGUGUAGUGGUGAAAUGCGUAGAGAUCGGGAGGAACACCAGUGGCGAAGGCGGCUUGCUGGGCCGGACCUGACGCUGAGACGCGAAGGCGUGGGGAGCGAACGGG